Molecule: ribosomal RNA, 301 nt
Filed under: uncultured bacterium
Lineage: Bacteria
Description: partial 16S ribosomal RNA
Rfam family: Bacterial small subunit ribosomal RNA
Source: RNAcentral
CAGCAGCCGCGGUAAAACGAAGGGUGCAAGCGUUACUCGGAAUUACUGGGCGUAAAGCGUGCGUAGGUGGUGGUUUAAGUCCGUUGUGAAAGCCCUGGGCUCAACCUGGGAAUUGCAGUGGAUACUGGGUCACUAGAGUGUGGUAGAGGAUAGUGGAAUUUCCGGUGUAGCAGUGAAAUGCGUAGAGAUCGGAAGGAACAUCUGUGGCGAAGGCGACUAUCUGGGCCAACACUGACACUGAGGCACGAAAGCGUGGGGAGCAAACAGGAUUAGAUACCCCAGUAGUCCCUGUCUCUUUACA